ACUCCUACGGGAGGCAGCAGUGGGGAAUUGUUCACAAUGGGCGCAAGCCUGAUGACGCAACGCCGCGUGGAGGAUGAAGGUCUUCGGAUUGUAAACUCCUGUUGCUCGGGACGAAAAGCCUCGACCUAAUACGUCGAGGUCUGACGGUACCGAGUGAGGAAGCCCCGGCUAACUCUGUGCCAGCAGCCGCGGUAAUACAGAGGGGGCAAGCGUUGUUCGGAAUUACUGGGCGUAAAGGGCGCGUAGGCGGCCCGCUAAGUCGAACGUGAAAUCCCCGAGCUCAACUCGGGAACUGCGUCCGAUACUGGUGGGCUUGAAUCCGGGAGAGGGAUGCGGAAUUCCAGGUGUAGCGGUGAAAUGCGUAGAUAUCUGGAGGAACACCGGUGGCGAAGGCGGCAUCCUGGACCGGCAUUGACGCUGAGGCGCGAAAGCUAGGGGAGCAAACGGGAUUAGAUACCCCGGUAGUCCUAGCCCUAAACGAUGAAUGCUUGGUGUGGCGGGUAUCGAUCCCUGCCGUGCCGAAGCUAACG
RNAcentral lists this ribosomal RNA (530 nucleotides) under uncultured bacterium. RNAcentral describes it as "bacterial SSU rRNA". It matches the Rfam family "Bacterial small subunit ribosomal RNA", at positions 335 to 857 of the family's 1533-position model. The record is from RNAcentral.